AGGUCUCACAGGGAUGAAGAACAUUGGGAACUCCUGUUACAUGAAUGCUGCACUGCAGGCCCUCUCCAAUUGUCCUCCUUUGACUCAGUUUUUCCUGGAUUGCAGUGGGCUGGUCCGUACGGAUAAGAAGCCGGUGUUGUGUAAAAGCUAUCAGAAGCUUAUCUCUGAGCUCUGGCACAAGAAACGGCCAAGUUAUGUUGUGCCCACUAGUCUGUUUCAUG
This is a long non-coding RNA of Sinocyclocheilus rhinocerous, 221 nucleotides long. RefSeq lists it as uncharacterized. The transcript is spliced from 3 exons. NCBI's taxonomy places the organism in Eukaryota, Metazoa, Chordata, Actinopteri, Cypriniformes, Cyprinidae. The record is from RefSeq and is a predicted model, not a curated record.